Molecule: small RNA, 631 nt
Filed under: uncultured Helotiales
Lineage: Eukaryota; Fungi; Ascomycota; Leotiomycetes; Helotiales
Description: eukaryotic LSU rRNA
Rfam family: 5.8S ribosomal RNA (bases 269-422)
Source: RNAcentral
CUUGGUCAUUUAGAGGAAGUAAAAGUCGUAACAAGGUUUCCGUAGGUGAACCUGCGGAAGGAUCAUUAGUGAAUCCUCAAAAGUCGGCCCGUCGGAUUGUGCUGGUGGAGACACAUGUGCACGUCCGUCGGGUCGCAAACCCACACACCUGUGCAUCUAUGACUCUGAGUGCCACCUUGCAUGGCCUUGAUCGGCCUGGCGCUCGAGUACUUUUCACACUCCCGAAUGCAAUGGAAUGUCUUGUUGUGCGUAACGUACAAACUGAAACAACUUUCAACAACGGAUCUCUUGGCUCUCGCAUCGAUGAAGAACGCAGCGAAAUGCGAUAAGUAAUGUGAAUUGCAGAAUUCAGUGAAUCAUCGAAUCUUUGAACGCACCUUGCACCCUUUGGUAUUCCGAAGGGUACGCCCGUUUGAGUGUCAUUAUAACCACUCAAGCCUGGCUUGGUAUUGGGGUUCGCGGUCCCGCGGCCCCUAAAAUCAGUGGCGGUGCCGGUGGGCUCUAAGCGUAGUAAAUCUCCUCGCUAUAGGGUCCCCCCGGUUGCUUGCCAGAACCCCCCAUUUUUUCAGGUUGACCUCGGAUCAGGUAGGGAUACCCGCUGAACUUAAGCAUAUCAAUAAGCGGAGGAAAU